RNAcentral lists this ribosomal RNA (476 nucleotides) under uncultured bacterium. RNAcentral describes it as "partial 16S ribosomal RNA". It matches the Rfam family "Bacterial small subunit ribosomal RNA", at positions 355 to 821 of the family's 1533-position model. The record is from RNAcentral.
UGGGGAAUUUUGGACAAUGGGCGCAAGCCUGAUCCAGCAAUGCCGCGUGCAGGAUGAAGGCCUUCGGGUUGUAAACUGCUUUUGUACGGAACGAAAAGCCUCUCUCUAAUACAGGGGGGUGAUGACGGUACCGUAAGAAUAAGCACCGGCUAACUACGUGCCAGCAGCCGCGGUAAUACGUAGGGUGCAAGCGUUAAUCGGAAUUACUGGGCGUAAAGCGUGCGCAGGCGGUUUUGUAAGACAGUGGUGAAAUCCCCGGGCUCAACCUGGGAACUGCCAUUGUGACUGCAAGGCUGGAGUGCGGCAGAGGGGGGAUGGAAUUCCGCGUGUAGCAGUGAAAUGCGUAGAUAUGCGGAGGAACACCGAUGGCGAAGGCAAUCCCCUGGGCCUGCACUGACGCUCAUGCACGAAAGCGUGGGGAGCAAAACAGGAUUAGAUCCCUGGUAGUCCACGCCCUAAAAUGAUGUCAACUGGUU